This 123-nucleotide ribosomal RNA is filed under the name uncultured Rhizopogon. RNAcentral's name for it is "partial 28S ribosomal RNA". It matches the Rfam family "Eukaryotic large subunit ribosomal RNA", at positions 11 to 133 of the family's 3401-position model. Lineage: Eukaryota; Fungi; Basidiomycota; Agaricomycetes; Boletales; Rhizopogonaceae. The record is from RNAcentral.
UCAGGUAGGACUACCCGCUGAACUUAAGCAUAUCAAUAAGCGGAGGAAAAGAAACUAACAAGGAUUCCCCUAGUAACUGCGAGUGAACCGGGAAAAGCUCAAAUUUUGAAUCUGGCGGUCUUU